This 2175-nucleotide long non-coding RNA is filed under the name Homo sapiens (human). Its description in RNAcentral is "HSALNT0361494". Lineage: Eukaryota; Metazoa; Chordata; Mammalia; Primates; Hominidae. The record is from RNAcentral.
AUUGCAGGCAUCCUGAGUCUCGGCCCUUUUCGCCAAAUCGCUGCUCUGCCGCGCGCCUACGCAAGGAAAGAUUCAAGGGUCCCUCCACUUCAGGGAGUGGAGCCCGCGCCUCGGCACGGAUCAGCUGUGCGUCUCCUUUGGCCUACUGGCUCCUCUGCUUGUGUCUAUAGCUAGCUGGACGCAUCGUGACUUUAUCUUCUCAUCUUUCCUGGCGCCCCCAGACGCAUUUCCUGGUCCCUCGAGGCAGCGGCGUCUGGGGAGUGCACUUUGCACAGACAGGGAAACCGAGGCACUCAGCGGUCUCCAAUGGAGACGCUGUAAUCGCAUUCCACGACCAGCUAGCGCUAUAAGCGCUGCCUCUAAAGCGGAAGGCCUCCCAGUCCUUCUCGACAGGAAGCAAUAUUUGCAUAUCUAAGGAGAACAAGAUUCGGCAAUGUGCUCCGGGAGCAAGUGCAGGCAUGGAACGGUAUGGGCUGGAGGGGGACAGACCUUCAGAGGCGGCUGCCCGUUCCCUGUAGUGUCACAUAAGAUUUUUAGAAGAUAGGAGUUUUCACAGUGGCGGCAGAGCCCUCUGCUAAAUCCUCAUAUUAGAUGUCAAAGGUGGCAUGUCAUUUGACCCAAUGGCUUUUUUAGUCAUUUAUCUUCCUAACACCUAUGAGAGUAGAGACAGGGUUUCACCAUGUUGGCCAGCCUGGUCUCAAACUCCUGAUCGCAAGUGAUCCGCCUACCUUGGCCUCCUAAAGUGCUGGGAUUACAGGCGUGAGCCACGUCUUUGUUCCAGCAAAACCAACCUAGUCCCUGAUUCACAAAUCAUCCUGGGAGUGUACAGCACUUACAGCCAGAAAGAAGUCUCUGGAGCAAAAAGCAUUGCAUAUUCAAUGGUCUAUGACAUCACCAUCGAAGACUCUGUCAAAAGGGGUUUUGUUUGAUUAAUUUUCAUUAUCUGUUGUUACCCAACUAAUGAAAGGUGAUACUAUUAAUGAGUGUGUGAACGAGACAGUGUCUUCGUUACCACCUCUGAAACACUCCCAGCUUUUUCAGGGACGAAUAGCCCUGACCCAAAGUGUGUCCUUUCUUCAUUGUAGGGAGAUACAAACUGUUUCUCUCCAAGUACUCCAACACCAAUUAUUGUGUGUCACAACCGAGAACACAAUAUGAGGCUUGUGCUUGAAUUACUGCUGUUUUAUGUGCCAAAAAAAAUGCUAGCUUUCUUUUUUCAGUGAAGUUGAUAGAGUUGGAAGACAUUUUAAUACCACAUUUAUUGGUUUGAAAGCAUGAUUGUUUUAGUAGCUGGUGCAAAUUUCAAGGAACACAUAACUCCCUUUAAGAAAUAUUGUUUCUAAGAAAUUACAUUUGACUAAAUUUGGAAGCUUUAAUGCAAAUAACUUUCAAACAAUGAAACCAUAUUCACAAGGAGAUGCUUUUAUUUUCUCCACUGAGGAAGAAAUGGAGACAUGUUUCCUAUUGUCGUUAUGUCCAUCUGGACAGAAAAGGAAGUCUGUGGGCUAGACAAGCAAAAAUAGGUUACAUCUGGGUAGCCCAGCAGUCUCUCCCUGACUGCUGAAGAAGCUCCUCUUUGUUUCAUUCCUGAAGCACGGCGUUGUUUUCUUGGACCCGUGCAUCAAGUUAAACCUGAGUUAGACUAUGGAUCCCUUGCACUUGAUUUUAUGAUUGUAAGACUUACACAAAUGCAAGCCUAGAACACAAUUGAACUCUUAUUUGCUUACAUCUCCAUGAACAGGAAAGAAGCCACUUGAUCUUCUAAAAGUUUUGCCCGGUUGCUUUCUCUUUUAUACCUAUUGUUAAGCUAUAAAAUGAAAUCACCAAAUUAUCAAUCUGCGAGUAUUUGCUACUUCGCAAUAUAUAUUUAAGAAUUUUACAAAACAAAACUGUGCCAUAAAAAGUAUUUCAUCCAUAUGAUCUUACAGUUCCACUUCUAAGAAUGCAUAUACCCAAAAGAAUUGAAAGCAAGAUCUCAAAGAUAUUUGUAUACCUGUGUUCGUAGCAGAUUAUCCACAAUAGCUAAAGGUGGAAGCAAGCCAAGCGUCUAUCAAUGUAUGAAUGGAUAAGUACAAUGUGGUAUACACAAACAAUGAAUUGUCAUUCAGCCUUAAAAAGGAAGGAUAUUCUGGGCUGGGCGCGGUGGCUCAAGUCUGUAAUCUCAGUACUAUGGGA